This is a small nuclear RNA of Pteronotus mesoamericanus, 192 nucleotides long. RefSeq annotates it as U2 spliceosomal RNA. The transcript has a single exon. The record is from RefSeq and is a predicted model, not a curated record. Lineage: Eukaryota; Metazoa; Chordata; Mammalia; Chiroptera; Mormoopidae.
GUACCAUCUCGGCCUUUUGGCUAAGAUCAAGUGUAGUGUCUGUUCUUAUCAGUUUAAUAUCAGAUACAUCUUCUCUCUGAGGACAUUAUAGUACGUGGAUUUUUGGAGCUGGGAGAUGGAAUAAGAGCUUGCUCCGUUCAUUCCGCACAGUGUCCCCAGUAUAGCAGUACUUCCGGGAAAAGUGCACAAAAA